RNAcentral lists this long non-coding RNA (252 nucleotides) under Elaeis guineensis (African oil palm). RNAcentral describes it as "long non-coding RNA (EGUI_LNC028403)". The record is from RNAcentral. Lineage: Eukaryota; Viridiplantae; Streptophyta; Magnoliopsida; Arecales; Arecaceae.
UCGAUCUCAUCCUUCAACUGGAUGCACUGUUCGGUAUCGUAACUAUGGUCACAAUGAAACCAAUAGUAAUGCUUUCGAUUGUGAGAAGCUGACCACAACUUCAUCGGUUGAGAUCAUCGAAGGUAGCUCUCUCCCUCUAUCUUCAUAAGAAUCUACGCAUGAGGAAUAGUUAAAGGGGUGUAAGAGUUAUACCUGCUGUCAAAGUUUUUAGGCUUCGAACUUGGUCGGAGAGGUGGAGCCUCUCUCUCAGUA